AAAGGCGAAAAGAACCCCGGCGAGGGGAGUGAAAAAGAACCUGAAACCGUGUACGUACAAGCAGUGGGAGCCUCUUAAUGGGGUGACUGCGUACCUUUUGUAUAAUGGGUCAGCGACUUAUAUUCUGUAGCAAGGUUAACCGAAUAGGGGAGCCGAAGGGAAACCGAGUCUUAACUGGGCGUUAAGUUGCAGGGUAUAGACCCGAAACCCGGUGAUCUAGCCAUGGGCAGGUUGAAGGUUGGGUAACACUAACUGGAGGACCGAACCGACUAAUGUUGAAAAAUUAGCGGAUGACUUGUGGCUGGGGGUGAAAGGCCAAUCAAACCGGGAGAUAGCUGGUUCUCCCCGAAAGCUAUUUAGGUAGCGCCUCGUGAAUUCAUCUCCGGGGGUAGAGCACUGUUUCGGCAAGGGGGUCAUCCCGACUUACCAACCCGAUGCAAACUGCGAAUACCGGAGAAUGUUAUCACGGGAGACACACGGCGGGUGCUAACGUCCGUCGUGAAGAGGGAAACAACCCAGACCGCCAGCUAAGGUCCCAAAGUCAUGGUUAAGUGGGAAACGAUGUGGGAAGGCCCAGACAGCCAGGAUGUUGGCUUAGAAGCAGCCAUCAUUUAAAGAAAGCGUAAUAGCUCACUGGUCGAGUCGGCCUGCGCGGAAGAUGUAACGGGGCUAAACCAUG
RNAcentral lists this ribosomal RNA (679 nucleotides) under Escherichia coli. RNAcentral's name for it is "partial 23S ribosomal RNA". It matches the Rfam family "Bacterial large subunit ribosomal RNA", at positions 510 to 1191 of the family's 2925-position model. Lineage: Bacteria; Pseudomonadati; Pseudomonadota; Gammaproteobacteria; Enterobacterales; Enterobacteriaceae. The record is from RNAcentral.